This 516-nucleotide ribosomal RNA is filed under the name uncultured bacterium. RNAcentral describes it as "bacterial SSU rRNA". It matches the Rfam family "Bacterial small subunit ribosomal RNA", at positions 28 to 525 of the family's 1533-position model. The record is from RNAcentral.
GACGAACGCUGGCGGCGUGCCUAAUACAUGCAAGUUGAGCGCUGAAGGUUGGUACUUGUACCGACUGGAUGAGCAGCGAACGGGUGAGUAACGCGUGGGGAAUCUGCCUUUGAGCGGGGGACAACAUUUGGAAACGAAUGCUAAUACCGCAUAAAAACUUUAAACACAAGUUUUAAGUUUGAAAGAUGCAAUUGCAUCACUCAAAGAUGAUCCCGCGUUGUAUUAGCUAGUUGGUGAGGUAAAGGCUCACCAAGGCGAUGAUACAUAGCCGACCUGAGAGGGUGAUCGGCCACAUUGGGACUGAGACACGGCCCAAACUCCUACGGGAGGCAGCAGUAGGGAAUCUUCGGCAAUGGACGAAAGUCUGACCGAGCAACGCCGCGUGAGUGAAGAAGGUUUUCGGAUCGUAAAACUCUGUUGGUAGAGAAGAACGUUGGUAGAGAGUGGAAAGCUCAUCAAGUGACGGUAACUACCCAGAAAGGGACGGCUAACUACGUGCCAGCAGCCGCGGUAAUC